GGCUCAGGACGAACGCUGGCGGCGUGCCUAACACAUGCAAGUCGAGCGAGGAGAUCCUCGGGAUGAUCCUAGCGGCGGACGGGUGAGUAACACGUGGGCAACCUGCCUCAUAGAGAGGAAUAGCCUUCCGAAGGGGAGAUUAAUACCUCAUAACAUUGCAGUUUCGCAUGGAACAGCAAUUAAAGGAGUAAUCCGCUAUGAGAUGGGCCCGCGGCGCAUUAGCUAGUUGGUGAGGUAAUGGCUCACCAAGGCGACGAUGCGUAGCCGACCUGAGAGGGUGAUCGGCCACAUUGGGACUGAGACACGGCCCAGACUCCUACGGGAGGCAGCAGUGGGGAAUAUUGCACGAAUGGGGGAAACCCUGAUGCAGCCAACGCCGCGUGAGUGAUGACGGCCUUCGGGUUGUAAAGCUCUGUCUUCAGGGACGAUAAUGACGGUACCUGAGGAGGAAGCCACGGCUAACUACGUGCCAGCAGCUGC
This 480-nucleotide ribosomal RNA is filed under the name uncultured bacterium. RNAcentral describes it as "bacterial SSU rRNA". It matches the Rfam family "Bacterial small subunit ribosomal RNA", at positions 21 to 518 of the family's 1533-position model. The record is from RNAcentral.